CAACAACCCUGUGAGAUAAGUACUAUUAUCAUCUCCAUUCUAAGGAUGAGGAAACAGAGACGUAGAAAAGUUACUCAAGACUACUCAACUCAACUCAAACUUGCUCAGGACUAGAUGAUGGAGGUGCCCCUCUGAUACCACGUCAACCUGAACAAAACCCACACCGGUGACUGGAUCUAGCCCGGAGCCUGUGUGGAAACAGAAGAAUGGACGGGGUUAUUUCUGAAAAGCGUAGUGAAACUACAUUGCACACUAUUGCACGCAUGCUCUUUCUAUGGGUGUGAAUGUAGGUGCAUGCACAUAGGGUGGAGCGGAGCCCAUGCACGAGUACACAAAUGUAGUUAAGUGUACCUGAGGUGGUGUGAGCAUUUUCUAGGACUCUAUGCUUGAAGUUUCACUUCGUAAAUCUCUUUUACUGGCUGUACUCUGAAAGCCAAGGGCUGUGUAAUAAUUUACACUGCAUUGUCCUUCCUCUCUUGCUCCCUUUCACUUGCCUAGGAUGAAAAACUAAAGAUUGAUAGUGAUGUCCCUUUGGAGGAGCCACGAGUGUCGUUCAUCCCCACUCUGUCAGUCUAUCCCUCUACAGCAUUUCUUCUCACUCCACUCCUUCUGCUCUGCUCCACAGUUUUCUCCUCUUCUUCCCCAAAUCUUUUCCACUGACUCCUUCUGAAAUGUCCUCCUCAUUGGUGCAGCCACCCUGGAUUAAGUAGAAUGAGAAGGACUUUUCAGCUGACCCAAUCAUGAGGCUCAUAAAAGUCCUCUGCAGAGAUCCAAGCAACCCCAGAGAUCUCUUUCCUCCACUCAAAGCCAUUUCAGCCUGACUUUCAAAGGCUCCAGGGAAGGACUGUGUUGAAGAGAAGUUGUAAGAUGGGCAUCCUUGUCUUCUUCCUGACCUUGGAGAGAAAGCUUUCAGUUUUUUACCACUGAGUAUGAUAUUAUCUGUUACCAGCAGUUCUAUUCUUAAAUAUAUAUCCUGGAGAAAAUUCUCCACAUGCAUUCCUGGAGACGUAUACCACAAUGUUUAUAACAGUAUUGUUUGUAAAAAACAAAGACCUGAAAACAACUCAGCUAUCUAUUGACAGG
This 1083-nucleotide long non-coding RNA is filed under the name Equus caballus (horse). Its description in RNAcentral is "lncRNA (ENSECAG00000049444.1)". Lineage: Eukaryota; Metazoa; Chordata; Mammalia; Perissodactyla; Equidae. The record is from RNAcentral.